CCAGCCAUGUGUUCCUCAACUUUUCAUAAUCUGGCGUUUGAACAUUCGUAUCAGCCACAGCGAUUUGAUGUU
This 72-nucleotide small RNA is filed under the name Staphylococcus aureus. RNAcentral describes it as "HMPRNC0000_1959". The record is from RNAcentral. Lineage: Bacteria; Bacillati; Bacillota; Bacilli; Caryophanales; Staphylococcaceae.